CACGUAGGGCGCAAGCGUUGUCCGGAAUUAUUGGGCGUAAAGAGCUCGUAGGCGGUCUGUUGCGUCCGCUGUGAAAACCCGGGGCUUAACCCCUGGCUUGCAGUGGAUACGGACAGACUAGAGGUAGGUAGGGGAGAAUGGAAUUCCCGGUGUAGCGGUGAAAUGCGCAGAUAUCGGGGAGGAACACCGGUGGCGAAGGCGGAUCUCUGGGCCGAUACUGACGCUGAGGAGCGAAAGCAUGGGGAGCGAACAGG
This 254-nucleotide ribosomal RNA is filed under the name uncultured bacterium. RNAcentral's name for it is "partial 16S ribosomal RNA". It matches the Rfam family "Bacterial small subunit ribosomal RNA", at positions 524 to 776 of the family's 1533-position model. The record is from RNAcentral.